This 653-nucleotide ribosomal RNA is filed under the name uncultured bacterium. RNAcentral describes it as "bacterial SSU rRNA". It matches the Rfam family "Bacterial small subunit ribosomal RNA", at positions 34 to 682 of the family's 1533-position model. The record is from RNAcentral.
CGCUAGCGGCAGGCUUAACACAUGCAAGUCGAGGGGCAGCACGGGUAGCAAUAUCUGGUGGCGACCGGCGCAAGGGUGCGUAACGCGUGAGCAACAUGCCCGUAUCAGGGGAAUAAUCCAGGGAAACUUGGUCUAAUACCCCAUAGUAAAUAUUAAAGGCAUCUUUAAUAUUUUAAAGCUUUGGUGGAUACGGAUUGGCUCGCGUGACAUUAGCUAGAUGGUAAGGUAACGGCUUACCAUGGCUACGAUGUCUAGGGGUUCUGAGAGGAAGAUCCCCCACACUGGAACUGAGACACGGUCCAGACUCCUACGGGAGGCAGCAGUGAGGAAUAUUGGACAAUGGAUGGAAAUCUGAUCCAGCCAUGCCGCGUGCAGGAAGACGGCCCUAUGGGUUGUAAACUGCUUUUAUAUGGGAGCAAUAAGGCCUACGUGUAGGUCGAUGAGAGUACCAUAUGAAUAAGCACCGGCUAACUCCGUGCCAGCAGCCGCGGUAAUACGGAGGGUGCAAGCGUUAUCCGGAUUUAUUGGGUUUAAAGGGUGCGUAGGCGGUUUGAUAAGUCAGCGGUGAAAUAUUUCAGCUUAACUGGAAGGGUGCCGUUGAUACUGUCAGGCUUGAAUUUAGUUGCUGUGGGUGGAAUGUGUGGUGUAGCGGU